UUACUAGAGUAGCACUCGCAUAUCAAUAAGCGGAGGAAAAGAAACUAACAAGGAUUCCCCUAGUAACGGCGAGUGAAGCGGGAAGAGCUCAAAUUUGAAAUCUUAAAGGGUUUCCCUUUACGAAUUGUAGUUUAAAGAAGUGUUUUCUGUUGAGGUUUUGGUAAAAGUUCUUUGGAAUAGGACAUCAUAGAGGGUGAGAAUCCCGUAUUUGACCUUUACUUUCAACUUUGUGAUACACUUUCAAAGAGUCGGAUUGUUUGGGAAUGCAGUCCAAAAUGGGUGGUAAAUUUCAUCUAAAGCUAAAUAUUGGCGAGAGACCGAUAGCGAACAAGUACCGUGAGGGAAAGAUGAAAAGAACUUUGAAAAGAGAGUUAAACAGUACGUGAAAUUGUCAAAAGGGAAGCGUUUGACACCAGUGUUGUUUUUCUGAAAAUCAAUUAAAGAACUGUUUAUGCUAAGUUGUUUAGACUUUAUCAGCUAACUGUUUAGUUUUGAGCUUUUCUUUAAUGCACUUUUCAGUUAACAAGUCAACAUCAAUUUCUUUUGCUGUAAAAAAGCUUGAGGAAGGUGGCUUGAGAUUCGUCUUAAGUGUUUAUAGCCUCUUGCCUAUGCAGUCGGAGAGAUUGAGGUCUGCAGCGUAGAUCCUUCGGGGCUAAAUGCAUUUGUGCUAAGUUAUAGCAUUUUAUAGACAACCUGUUGACUAUGAUUUGUCUUGUAGCUUACUCGCUUAUGUUAUUUUACCUACGCUUAGGAUGUUGAACUCUAUCACACACAG
RNAcentral lists this ribosomal RNA (775 nucleotides) under uncultured Neocallimastigales. RNAcentral's name for it is "partial large subunit ribosomal RNA". It matches the Rfam family "Eukaryotic large subunit ribosomal RNA", at positions 1 to 627 of the family's 3401-position model. Lineage: Eukaryota; Fungi; Neocallimastigomycota; Neocallimastigomycetes; Neocallimastigales. The record is from RNAcentral.